This 490-nucleotide ribosomal RNA is filed under the name uncultured bacterium. Its description in RNAcentral is "partial 16S ribosomal RNA". It matches the Rfam family "Bacterial small subunit ribosomal RNA", at positions 29 to 507 of the family's 1533-position model. The record is from RNAcentral.
AGUGAACGCUGGCGGUAGGCCUAACACAUGCAAGUCGAACGGCAGCACAGGAGAGCUUGCUCUCUAGGUGGCGAGUGGCGGACGGGUGAGGAAUACAUCGGAAUCUGCCCAGUCGUGGGGGAUAACGUAGGGAAACUUACGCUAAUACCGCAUACGACCUUCGGGUGAAAGAGGGGGAUCGCAAGACCUCUCGCGAUUGGAUGAGCCGAUGUCGGAUUAGCUAGUUAGCGGGGUAAUGGCCCACCAAGGCGACGAUCCGUAGCUGGUCUGAGAGGAUGAUCAGCCACACUGGAACUGAGACACGGUCCCGACUCCUACGGGAGGCAGCAGUGGGGAAUAUUGGACAAUGGGCGCAAGGCUGAUCCAGCCAUACCGCGUGGGUGAAGAAGGCCUUCGGGUUGUAAAGCCCUUUUGUUGGGAAAGAAAUCUUUCAGGCUAAUACCCUGGGAGGAUGACGGUACCCAAAGAAUAAGCACCGGCUAACUUCGUG